CCUACGGGAGGCAGCAGUGAGGAAUAUUGGACAAUGGGCGCAAGCCUGAUCCAGCCAUGCCGCGUGCAGGAAGAAGCAUCUAUGGUGUGUAAACUGCUUUUGUACAGGAAGAAACACUCCCUCGUGAGGGAGCUUGACGGUACUGUAAGAAUAAGGAUCGGCUAACUCCGUGCCAGCAGCCGCGGUAAUACGGAGGAUCCAAGCGUUAUCCGGAAUCAUUGGGUUUAAAGGGUCCGUAGGCGGUUUGGUAAGUCAGUGGUGAAAGCCCAUCGCCCAACGGUGGAACGGCCAUUGAUACUGCUAGACUUGAAUUAUUGUGAAGUAACUAGAAUAUGUAGUGUAGCGGUGAAAUGCUUAGAGAUUACAUGGAAUACCAAUUGCGAAGGCAGGUUACUAACAAUAUAUUGACGCUGAUGGACGAAAGCGUGGGGAGCGAACAGGAUUAGAUACCCUGGUAGUCCACGCCGUAAACGAUGGAUACUAGCUGUUGGGAGUAAUCUCAGUGGCUAAGCGAAAGUGAUAAGUAUCCCACUGGGGAGUACGUUGCAAGAUGAAACUCAAAGGAUUGACGGNNGAGAGAGCGAGACGACGACGAGGGAGAGG
RNAcentral lists this ribosomal RNA (603 nucleotides) under uncultured bacterium. Its description in RNAcentral is "bacterial SSU rRNA". It matches the Rfam family "Bacterial small subunit ribosomal RNA", at positions 338 to 947 of the family's 1533-position model. The record is from RNAcentral.